This 406-nucleotide ribosomal RNA is filed under the name uncultured bacterium. RNAcentral's name for it is "partial 16S ribosomal RNA". It matches the Rfam family "Bacterial small subunit ribosomal RNA", at positions 30 to 526 of the family's 1533-position model. The record is from RNAcentral.
AUUGAACGCUGGCGGCAGGCCUAACACAUGCAAGUCGAACGAGUGGCGGAAGUGUGAGUAAUGUCUGGGAAUCGGCCUGAUGGAGGGGGUUAACUACUGGAAACGGUAGCUACUACCGCCUACCAUCGGAUGUGCCGAGGUGGGAUUAGCUAGUAGGUGGGGUAAAGGCUUACCUAGGCGACGAUCCCUAGCUGGUCUGAGAGGAUGACCAGCCACACUGGAACUGAGACACGGUCCAGACUCCUACGGGAGGCAGCAGUGGGGAAUAUUGCACAAUGGGCGCAAGCCUGAUGCAGCCAUGCCGCGUGUGUGAAGAAGGCCUUCGGGUUGUAAAGUACUUUAAGCGGGGAGGCGUUACCAGCAGAAGAAGCACCGGCUAACUCCGUGCCAGCAGCCGCGGUAAUAC